AUUUGCUGUCAGCUUUGAUACCGGAUGUUCCUUGGCAAAUACAACUGGCAAUAGAUAGGGAAAAAUAUGAAGCACAAAAGGUAAUGGAAGCUGAAGGCACCAGUUCAUUUUAGGCAAAGUGCAAUAAAUACAUCUAAAGGAAGAGACAGAACAGAAGUAUGUUUUAUCCAUAUAUGUAACCAUCACUGAAGAGAUAUCUGACCUGCACUGAAGUUGAAUAAACAAAAGAUUGUGAGAAAGUUUACAUGAUCCUUUCACAAUUAGCUGUGUA
Molecule: long non-coding RNA, 271 nt
Organism: Carcharodon carcharias (great white shark)
Lineage: Eukaryota; Metazoa; Chordata; Chondrichthyes; Lamniformes; Lamnidae
Exons: 3
Source: RefSeq, a predicted model, not a curated record